This is a small nucleolar RNA of Cavia porcellus (domestic guinea pig), 89 nucleotides long. The record is from RefSeq and is a predicted model, not a curated record. NCBI's taxonomy places the organism in Eukaryota, Metazoa, Chordata, Mammalia, Rodentia, Caviidae.
GGGUCCCUGUGAUGUCCAGCACUGGGCUCUGACCAUCUGAGGACAUGGUGCCUCCUGGGACCUUUGACACCUAGGAGUCUGAGGAGCCC